UACGUAGGACCCAAGCGUUUAUCCGGAAUUACUGGGCGUAAAGAGUUGCGUAGGUGGCAAGUUAAGCGGGUAGUGAAAUUGUGUGGCUCAACCAUACACCCAUUACCUGAACUGGCUAGCUAGAGUGCGAUAGAGGUAACUGGAAUUACUAGUGUAGGAGUGAAAUCCGUAGAUAUUAGUAGGAACACCGAUGGCGUAGGCAGGUUACUGGAUCGCAACUGACACUGAGGCACGAAAGCGUGGGGAGCAAACGGGG
RNAcentral lists this ribosomal RNA (256 nucleotides) under uncultured bacterium. RNAcentral's name for it is "partial 16S ribosomal RNA". It matches the Rfam family "Bacterial small subunit ribosomal RNA", at positions 524 to 777 of the family's 1533-position model. The record is from RNAcentral.